CCGCCAAAGGAUUACUACAUUGUUGCAUCCACUCGUUUUACCAAGCAAGUCCUCACUGCAACUGCAGUGUUACGCUACACAAACUCUAAGGCCCCAGCCUCUGGACCCCUGCCUGCUCCUCCUACUGGCCAAUUUCACUGGUCUAUGAGGCAUGUUAGAACUUACAGGUGGAAUCUGACUGCAAGUGCAGCCAGGCCCAAUCCUCAGGGCUCAUUUCACUACGGAAAGAUAAUUCCUAAAAAGACAAUUGUCUUGGCCAAUUCAGCACCUUUAAUAAAUGGAAAGA
RNAcentral lists this unclassified non-coding RNA (286 nucleotides) under Hevea brasiliensis (rubber tree). The record is from RNAcentral. Lineage: Eukaryota; Viridiplantae; Streptophyta; Magnoliopsida; Malpighiales; Euphorbiaceae.